This 440-nucleotide ribosomal RNA is filed under the name uncultured bacterium. RNAcentral's name for it is "partial 16S ribosomal RNA". It matches the Rfam family "Bacterial small subunit ribosomal RNA", at positions 338 to 795 of the family's 1533-position model. The record is from RNAcentral.
CCUACGGGUGGCAGCAGUGGGGGAUAUUGCACAAUGGGGGGAACCCUGAUGCAGCGACGCCGCGUGAGUGAAGGAGCGUUUCGGCGCGUAAAGCUCUAUCGGCAAGGAAGAAGAUGACGGUACCUGGCCAAGAAGCCACGGCUAACUACGUGCCAGCAGCCGCGGUAAGACGGAGGGGGCAAGCGUUAUCCGGAUUUACUGGGUGUAAAGGGGGCGCAGACGGCAAUGCAAGCCAGGAGUGAAAGCGCGGGGCCCAACCCCGGGACUGCUCUUGGAACUGGAUGGCUGGAGUACAGGAGAGGCAGGCGGAAUUCCUAGUGUAGCGGUGAAAUGCGUAGAUAUUAGGAGGAACACCGGUGGCGAAGGCGGCCUGCUGGACUGUGACUGACGUUGAGGCCCGAAGGCGUGGGGAGCAAACAGGAUUAGAUACCCCAGUAGUC